RNAcentral lists this ribosomal RNA (440 nucleotides) under uncultured bacterium. Its description in RNAcentral is "bacterial SSU rRNA". It matches the Rfam family "Bacterial small subunit ribosomal RNA", at positions 29 to 512 of the family's 1533-position model. The record is from RNAcentral.
AACGAACGCUGGCGGCAGGCUUAACACAUGCAAGUCGAACGGGCACCUUCGGGUGUCAGUGGCAGACGGGUGAGUAACGCGUGGGAACGUACCCUUCGGUUCGGAAUAACCCAGGGAAACUUGGGCUAACACCGGAUACGUCCGCAAGGAGAAAGAUUUAUCGCCGAAGGAUCGGCCCGCGUCGGAUUAGCUAGUUGGUGGGGUAAUGGCCCACCAAGGCGACGAUCCGUAGCUGGUCUGAGAGGAUGANCAGCCACACUGGGACUGAGACACGGCCCAGACUCCUACGGGAGGCAGCAGUGGGGAAUAUUGGACAAUGGGCGAAAGCCUGAUCCAGCCAUGCCGCGUGAGUGAAGAAGGCCUUAGGGUUGUAAAGCUCUUUCAGCGGGGAAGAUAAUGACGGUACCCGCAGAAGAAGUCCCGGCUAACUUCGUGCCAGC